This 424-nucleotide ribosomal RNA is filed under the name Verrucomicrobiota bacterium. RNAcentral describes it as "Verrucomicrobia bacterium partial 16S ribosomal RNA". It matches the Rfam family "Bacterial small subunit ribosomal RNA", at positions 355 to 776 of the family's 1533-position model. Lineage: Bacteria; Pseudomonadati; Verrucomicrobiota. The record is from RNAcentral.
UGAGGAAUAUUGGUCAAUGGGCGAGAGCCUGAACCAGCCAAGUAGCGUGCAGGACGACGGCCCUAUGGGUUGUAAACUGCUUUUAUGUGGGGAUAAAGUGCGUGACGUGUCAUGCAUUGCAGGUACCACAUGAAUAAGGACCGGCUAAUUCCGUGCCAGCAGCCGCGGUAAUACGGAAGGUCCGGGCGUUAUCCGGAUUUAUUGGGUUUAAAGGGAGCGUAGGCUGUCUAUUAAGCGUGUUGUGAAAUUUACCGGCUCAACCGGUGGCUUGCAGCGCGAACUGGUCGACUUGAGUAUGCAGGAAGUAGGCGGAAUUCAUGGUGUAGCGGUGAAAUGCUUAGAUAUCAUGACGAACUCCGAUUGCGCAGGCAGCUUAUUGUAGCAUAACUGACGCUGAUGCUCGAAAGUGCGGGUAUCAAACAGG